This 253-nucleotide ribosomal RNA is filed under the name uncultured bacterium. RNAcentral's name for it is "partial 16S ribosomal RNA". It matches the Rfam family "Bacterial small subunit ribosomal RNA", at positions 524 to 776 of the family's 1533-position model. The record is from RNAcentral.
UACGUAGGUGGCGAGCGUUGUCCGGAUUUACUGGGCGUAAAGCGCGCGCAGGCGGUUCGUUAAGUCCGGUGUGAAAGCUCCCGGCUCAACUGGGAGAGGUCAUUGGAUACUGGCGGACUCGAGGGAUGCAGAGGAAGGUGGAAUUCCCGGUGUAGUGGUGAAAUGCGUAGAUAUCAGGAAGAACACCCGUGGCGAAGGCGGCUCUCUGGGACGGUACUGACGCUGAGACGCGAAAGCGUGGGGAGCGAACAGG